UGAGGAAAUUUUGUAUGGAAAUCGUUGCUGUUAUGCGCGUGUUGAAUUUGUUUGAAGGAUUUGAAUAUGGGAAGAUGAAGAUGAUUAUGGUGAUGAUUCAGUGUUGAUGAAUCGUAUGAAGCAGGUGAGGAUUCUGAAGGUUGAAGAAAGGGAGAAAGAAUUGGUGAAGAAGAUUGAAGAAAAUUAUGGAGAUUCCCAGGUUCAGAGAUUUGGAGAUUCGGAGAAGAAGGUUGAAGGAGCGUUCCGAGUUUGUUACGAUUUUUUUUUGGUGAGUUUCUAUUCUGUUCAAUCUCUUUUUCUGUUAUUCUUUUUUUGAUGAUUCUGUUAUGAUUACUGUUGCCUUUUUGUUGCAUUUUCAUGGUGAUUGAAUUGGAGAGGUGAAAAAGAUUGAAUGUUGAAGAAUUGAUGGAGAAGGUUAUGGUGAUGGUUGAAGAAUUGAUAAAGAUUAUGGUGAAGGUUGAAUCGAUGAAGGUUGAAUCGAUGAAGAAGGUGAAGAUGCAGAGAUUCUGCGUUUUUUGUGAGUUCAAUGGAGAGGAAUUGAAGGUGCUGAAAAAGGUGAAUCGAGGGAGAGAGAUGAAGUUUGUUGCCAGUUUGUGAAUUCUGUUAUGUGCUGAGUUUUUUUUCCAUGAAUUUCUGUUACUCAACUCUUUUUCUCCUUUUGUGAACCGGUUCAGUCCUUUUCUUCUUCCAGUUGUUUCCGAUUUCAGCCGCUUUCAUAUCACUGAUUAGCUUUUUCUUCGAACCGGUUUCCGUUUGGUUUAUAUUUCUGAACUGUUUUAUUUUCCUGGACUGAGUCGACUUGAAUCGGUUUCAUUAUGCAGGUGAAGGCUGUAGGUCAGUUUAUUUGUUGCAGCUACGGUUUGUUGGAGUUCCAUUGCAAAUUGGCUGCCUUUGUGUUGUUGUAACAAGGAUGAUAUUGUAGUUGGAUAUGAUUUUUUUGUAUAAUUUUUGUGAUUGAAUUUUUGUAAUUUUGUAUGAAAUGGGCUUUAGAUUUUGGGUGUAAAGUCUCUUUUUUUUUUUGUAAUGAGUAUUGAAUUUUUUAUGGGCCUUUUGUAAUAGAGUUUGUAACUCAACUUUUUUUUUUUGUAAUGAUACAUGAAUACACCCUCCAUUCUUGUAUGAAUACACUCUCCAUCCUUGUAUGCUACAAACAAUUUUGAUCCAAUCCUAAACAAUAAAGCAUUUUGAACUUAAAUCAUCA
Vicia villosa (hairy vetch) is the source of this 1201-nucleotide long non-coding RNA. RefSeq lists it as uncharacterized. The transcript is spliced from 2 exons. The record is from RefSeq and is a predicted model, not a curated record. NCBI's taxonomy places the organism in Eukaryota, Viridiplantae, Streptophyta, Magnoliopsida, Fabales, Fabaceae.